Mytilus trossulus (common blue mussel) is the source of this 519-nucleotide long non-coding RNA. RefSeq lists it as uncharacterized. Lineage: Eukaryota; Metazoa; Mollusca; Bivalvia; Mytilida; Mytilidae. The transcript is spliced from 2 exons. The record is from RefSeq and is a predicted model, not a curated record.
AAGAUGUGGCGCGUUAUUUUUGUUACUCAGUAUACGCAUAUGUAUAAAUUUAUAUUAUACUUAUGUCGUGACUCAGUCUAAAUAUAUGAAGUUCAUUCAACAUGGCCAAGUGCUAACUUAAUUCCACUGUAAAUCUCUAAUCAUAGAGAAAUGGACGAUGAAAAAAAGAAAAAGAUUUUAUGUGAUGAACUUAACACAUUACGGACAUACCAGCAGCUAGAACGAACAAAAAUGUCAAUAGCGAUAAAUGAAUUGAUUUCUUACUGCGAACAAUGUAAAUCAGCCGACAUGUUAUUAGUUCCCUACGAUGAACGUCCAAUAGGACCGAAAAGACAACGGACGUGUUAUGUGAACAUUUUCUUUGGAGGUUGUUUAUCUGGACUGUGUGAUUGCGCUAAAUGAUCACGUGACAUGUUUAACAAGACUAUUGAUAGAUUGAAUUGUAGUACAUUAUUUUUAAAAAUGGUUUAUUUCCUAAUUUUUCUUCACUUUUCUUGUUAUUAAAAUUGAAAAUGGAAA